RNAcentral lists this ribosomal RNA (465 nucleotides) under uncultured bacterium. RNAcentral describes it as "partial 16S ribosomal RNA". It matches the Rfam family "Bacterial small subunit ribosomal RNA", at positions 338 to 795 of the family's 1533-position model. The record is from RNAcentral.
CCUACGGGAGGCAGCAGUAGGGAAUCUUCCACAAUGGGCGAAAGCCUGAUGGAGCAACGCCGCGUGGGUGAAGAAGGUCUUCGGAUCGUAAAACCCUGUUGUUAGAGAAGAAAGUGCGUGAGAGUAACUGUUAACGUUUCGACGGUAUCUAACCAGAAAGCCACGGCUAACUACGUGCCAGCAGCCGCGGUAAGACGUAGGUGGCAAGCGUUAUCCGGAUUUAUUGGGCGUAAAGGGCACGCAGGCGGUCUUUUAAGUCUGAUGUGAAAGCCGUCGGCUUAACCGGAGUAGGGCAUUGGAAACUGGGAGACUUGAGUGCAGAAGAGGAGAGUGGAACUCCAUGUGUAGCGGUGAAAUGCGUAGAUAUAUGGAAGAACACCAGUGGCGAAAGCGGCUCUCUGGUCUGUAACUGACGCUGAGGUUCGAAAGCGUGGGUAGCAAACAGGAUUAGAUACCCCAGUAGUC